GUAGGGGAAUCUCGCAUUUCACUGGGCCAGCAUCAGUUUUGGUGGCAGGAUAAAUCCAUAGGAAUGUAGCUUGCCUCGGUAAGUAUUAUAGCCUGUGGGAAUACUGCCAGCUGGGACUGAGGACUGCGACGUAAGUCAAGGAUGCUGGCAUAAUGGUUAUAUGCCGCCCGUCUUGAAACACGGACCAAGGAGUCUAACGUCUAUGCGAGUGUUUGGGUGUAAAACCCAUACGCGUAAUGAAAGUGAACGUAGGUUGGGGCCUCGCAAGAGGUGCACAAUCGACCGAUCCUGAUGUCUUCGGAUGGAUUUGAGUAAGAGC
This 319-nucleotide non-coding RNA is filed under the name Zymoseptoria brevis. Its description in RNAcentral is "Eukaryotic large subunit ribosomal RNA". It matches the Rfam family "Eukaryotic large subunit ribosomal RNA", at positions 470 to 801 of the family's 3401-position model. The record is from Rfam by way of RNAcentral. Lineage: Eukaryota; Fungi; Ascomycota; Dothideomycetes; Mycosphaerellales; Mycosphaerellaceae.